RNAcentral lists this ribosomal RNA (561 nucleotides) under Hypocreaceae sp. CCN2. RNAcentral describes it as "eukaryotic LSU rRNA". The stretch from base 173 to 326 matches the Rfam family "5.8S ribosomal RNA". The record is from RNAcentral. Lineage: Eukaryota; Fungi; Ascomycota; Sordariomycetes; Hypocreales; Hypocreaceae.
ACUCCCAACCCAAUGUGAACGUUACCAAACUGUUGCCUCGGCGGGGUCACGCCCCGGGGUGCGUCGCAGCCCCGGAACCAGGCGCCCGCCGGAGGAACCAACCAAACUCUUUCUGUAGUCCCCUCGCGGACGUAUUUCUUACAGCUCUGAGCAAAAAUUCAAAAUGAAUCAAAACUUUCAACAACGGAUCUCUUGGUUCUGGCAUCGAUGAAGAACGCAGCGAAAUGCGAUAAGUAAUGUGAAUUGCAGAAUUCAGUGAAUCAUCGAAUCUUUGAACGCACAUUGCGCCCGCCAGUAUUCUGGCGGGCAUGCCUGUCCGAGCGUCAUUUCAACCCUCGAACCCCUCCGGGGGAUCGGCGUUGGGGAUCGGGACCCCUCACACGGGUGCCGGCCCCGAAAUACAGUGGCGGUCUCGCCGCAGCCUCUCCUGCGCAGUAGUUUGCACAACUCGCACCGGGAGCGCGGCGCGUCCACGUCCGUAAAACACCCAACUUUCUGAAAUGUUGACCUCGGAUCAGGUAGGAAUACCCGCUGAACUUAAGCAUAUCAAUAAGCGGAGGA